AUUGAACGCUGGCGGCAGGCUUAACACAUGCAAGUCGAGCGGGGUGAUGGUGCUUGCACUAUCACUUAGCGGCGGACGGGUGAGUAAUGCUUAGGAAUCUGCCUAUUAGUGGGGGACAACAUCUCGAAAGGGAUGCUAAUACCGCAUACGUCCUACGGGAGAAAGCAGGGGAUCACUUGUGACCUUGCGCUAAUAGAUGAGCCUAAGUCGGAUUAGCUAGUUGGUGGGGUAAAGGCCUACCAAGGCGACGAUCUGUAGCGGGUCGGAGAGGAUGGUCCGCCAAACUGGGACUGGGACACGGCCCAGACUCCUACGGGAGGCAGCAGUGGGGAAUAUUGGACAAUGGGGGGAACCCUGAUCCAGCCAUGCCGCGUGUGUGAAGAAGGCCUUAUGGUUGUAAAGCACUUUAAGCGAGGAGGAGGCUCUUUUGGUUAAUACCCAAGAUGAGUGGACGUUACUCGCAGAAUAAGCACCGGCUAACUCUGUGCCAGCCGCCGCGGUAA
Molecule: ribosomal RNA, 503 nt
Filed under: uncultured bacterium
Lineage: Bacteria
Description: partial 16S ribosomal RNA
Rfam family: Bacterial small subunit ribosomal RNA
Source: RNAcentral